Molecule: ribosomal RNA, 674 nt
Filed under: uncultured bacterium
Lineage: Bacteria
Description: bacterial SSU rRNA
Rfam family: Bacterial small subunit ribosomal RNA
Source: RNAcentral
UAGGUAUCUUCCCUUUGGUGAGGAAUAACACGAGGAAACUUGUGCUAAUACCUCAUAAGUCUUUACGGAGAAAGCUUUAUGCGCCGAAGGAUGAGCCUGCAUUUGAUUAGUUUGUUGGUGGGGUAAUGGCCUACCAAGACUUUGAUCAAUAGCUGAUUUGAGAGGAUGAUCAGCCACAUUGGGACUGAGACACGGCCCAAACUCCUACGGGAGGCAGCAGUGGGGAAUCUUGCACAUGGAGGAAACUCUGAUGCAGCGAUGCCGCGUGAGUGAAGAAGGCCUUUGGGUUGUAAAGCUCUUUCGUCGGGGAAGAAAAUGACUGUACCCGAAUAAGAAGGUCCGGCUAACUUCGUGCCAGCAGCCGCGGUAAUACGAAGGGACCUAGCGUAGUUCGGAAUUACUGGGCUUAAAGAGUUCGUAGGUGGUUGAAAAAGUUGGUGGUGAAAUCCCAGAGCUUAACUCUGGAACUGCCAUCAAAACUUUUCAGCUAGAGUUUGAUAGAGGAAAGCAGAAUUUCUAGUGUAGAGGUGAAAUUCGUAGAUAUUAGAAAGAAUACCAAUUGCGAAGGCAGCUUUCUGGAUCAUUACUGACACUGAGGAACGAAAGCAUGGGUAGCGAAGAGGAUUAGAUACCCUCGUAGUCCAUGCCGUAAACGAUGUGUGUUAGACGUUGGA